RNAcentral lists this ribosomal RNA (425 nucleotides) under uncultured bacterium. RNAcentral describes it as "partial 16S ribosomal RNA". It matches the Rfam family "Bacterial small subunit ribosomal RNA", at positions 354 to 796 of the family's 1533-position model. The record is from RNAcentral.
GUGGGGAAUAUUGGACAAUGGGCGAAAGCCUGAUCCAGCAAUGCCGCGUGAGUGAUGAAGGCCUUAGGGUUGUAAAGCUCUUUUACCAGGGAUGAUAAUGACAGUACCUGGAGAAUAAGCUCCGGCUAACUCCGUGCCAGCAGCCGCGGUAAUACGGAGGGAGCUAGCGUUGUUCGGAAUUACUGGGCGUAAAGCGCGCGUAGGCGGCUACUCAAGUCAGAGGUGAAAGCCCGGGGCUCAACCCCGGAACUGCCUUUGAAACUAGGUAGCUAGAAUCUUGGAGAGGUCAGUGGAAUUCCGAGUGUAGAGGUGAAAUUCGUAGAUAUUUGGAAGAACACCAGUGGCGAAGGCGACUGACUGGACAAGUAUUGACGCUGAGGUGCGAAAGCGUGGGGAGCAAACAGGAUUAGAAACCCGAGUAGUCC